RNAcentral lists this ribosomal RNA (173 nucleotides) under uncultured bacterium. RNAcentral's name for it is "partial 16S ribosomal RNA". It matches the Rfam family "Bacterial small subunit ribosomal RNA", at positions 1320 to 1500 of the family's 1533-position model. The record is from RNAcentral.
AUGAAGCUGGAUUCGCUAGUAAUCGCGCAUCAGCCACGGCGCGGUGAAUACGUUCCCGGGCCUUGUACACACCGCCCGUCAAGCCAUGGAAGCCGGGGGUGCCUGAAGUGCGCUGCCGCAAGGAGCGCCCUAGGGUAAAACCGGUGACUGGGGCUAAGUCGUAACAAGGUAUC